Long non-coding RNA from Syngnathus acus (greater pipefish), 368 nucleotides. RefSeq lists it as uncharacterized. The record is from RefSeq and is a predicted model, not a curated record. NCBI's taxonomy places the organism in Eukaryota, Metazoa, Chordata, Actinopteri, Syngnathiformes, Syngnathidae. The transcript is spliced from 3 exons.
GUGGUUCUUGAAUUUUUUUUUAGUUUUUUUUUUAACUUUGCUUUGUAUCGCAGAUGGUACCUACACCGGACAACACCCAAACACCAAAACCUCUCCAAACAAGGAACUGACGUAACUGGUGGAAGUGACGUCACUCCCGUGGGUCAAUUGGAGGCGCCAGGAAGUUCAUCAAGAACAGGUGCACUUUGAAUAUGUGCAUGCCCCCCAACAUCUUGCGAGUGGCAGUCAGUCAAGUGCGGUCCAAGCCUUUGAGAUGGAGCAGACGUCGCUGCACGAGAGCCGGCCUGUCUGGGCAGAUGCUGCGGCCGCCUCUUUGUAAACAAGCAAGCUCCAGACAAGAAGCUCAACUAACAUGUAAGUCACGCUUC